This 177-nucleotide non-coding RNA is filed under the name Mariprofundus erugo. RNAcentral's name for it is "6S / SsrS RNA". It matches the Rfam family "6S / SsrS RNA". From Rfam's summary of the family: E. coli 6S RNA was the first non coding RNA to be sequenced, but its function was unknown until recently. It consists of 184 nucleotides that fold into an extended hairpin structure with a large single-stranded internal bulge. Lineage: Bacteria; Pseudomonadati; Pseudomonadota; Candidatius Mariprofundia; Mariprofundales; Mariprofundaceae. The record is from Rfam by way of RNAcentral.
GCGCCCCUGCGUUGAGCAAAUGGCAUUCAUGUUGCCUGAGCCGAUACUUGUCGAACGGGAGCCCCGCUACUCCGGUUGUGUGCGUCCCUGCAGAGGGAUACCUUUUACCGGAGUGCAGCGCCCACCUCUUGUUAGAGGGUUCGACAACGCAGUGCCACACCUCAACGCGGGGGCGCC